Molecule: long non-coding RNA, 1039 nt
Organism: Dreissena polymorpha
Lineage: Eukaryota; Metazoa; Mollusca; Bivalvia; Myida; Dreissenidae
Exons: 2
Source: RefSeq, a predicted model, not a curated record
CCAGGUGACCUUGCAAUCUCUGCAUGCAUAUUUCAAAUCUUCCCUCAUCCUGUCUAGACAACAUGCCAAUGUGUUAAUCAAGGUGCCUGUACCACGUGACUUUUUCGGCUAUGUGUGGGACAAUCGGAUGUCAACAAACCAUAGCUUCAGACUUGACAAGGAUAAGUCGAAGGAUUUGUAACGCUUUAAGGCGCGAAGCUGUGUUAGAAUUAGAUAAACACCAUCAAACCACACGGAAGGUGUUAUGCGGCAAGUUAAUUAUCAAAACCGCAGUGACAGAGACGGACCCAGCUUCAUUCUGUGAUGUUUACGGAUAGCUAUUUCAACUAACUAUGCAAACAUACCAUGUAAUAUGUAUUUUGGCAUAAUCAAAACAAAGUGUAUGUAUUGAUAUUUGUGUAUAUUUAUGUGUUUUGUAUCAAUGUUAUGAACCCUUUCAGUGCGGGAACCGAAUUUUGAAGGCCUUUGCAAACAGUUUGGAUCCAGAUGAGACGCCACAGAACGUGGCGUCUCAUCAGGAUCCAAACUGUUUGCUAUUCUGAUAGUAUUCUUUUAAAAAAAUCGAAGAAAAUGCUAAUUUUAGAAAUUCAGCAGACGACAUUUUAGCAGAAGACAAAUUUCCCAGCAUUCAAAGGGUUAAUGAAAUUGAUUAGAUGAAUAUAAAAUCUGAGUACAUAUUACCAUUUGUGGAACAUUAUGUUUCCUUGAUUGUGUGCAAGGACUGAUACAACAAAUUGUGCACAAAAAAAUAUGUGCACCACUACAAAUUCCACAUUGUAUUGUCCUUAAUCAGAAACCAUCAAUAUAUGUGCAGACAAAAACAUCAUUUUUUUUUAAUCCAAGAAAUUUCAUGCAAGUAAUGUCUCCAAAUCAAGUAUGGAUUCUUGGUCAAUGAAUCAGGGAAUGUCCUAGGAGAAUCCGCCACAGACAAGUUUGUAAGGCAUGCCAGACAUUGUAAUAAGCCUUCUUUGCAGACAGUAUUGAUAUUGUAUUGAUGUGCAUCUCAGGUGCAAGGCUUGAUAAUAAAUUUACCACUUCA